GAAAUCAUUGCCACUCUCAUUCAUGAUUGCCUGUGAGACCGUUCUCGGUGGAAACACAUCUAUUCUUACGAAAAUAUUCUUCACUGAUAAGAAAAUAAAAAACCGAAAUAAUACCGGAGCUGGAACAGGAACAGCAACAGUAGGCGAAACAAAGACCAUAUAUUCCACAAUACCAACAGCUACAGAUGACACGAUCUGGAAAAAAAUCCCGGAAACAAAAACAAAAUGUUUCGGAACAACACCAACAGCAA
Nomia melanderi (Alkali bee) is the source of this 251-nucleotide non-coding RNA. The record is from RefSeq and is a predicted model, not a curated record. NCBI's taxonomy places the organism in Eukaryota, Metazoa, Arthropoda, Insecta, Hymenoptera, Halictidae.